Long non-coding RNA from Etheostoma cragini (Arkansas darter), 141 nucleotides. RefSeq lists it as uncharacterized. Lineage: Eukaryota; Metazoa; Chordata; Actinopteri; Perciformes; Percidae. The record is from RefSeq and is a predicted model, not a curated record. The transcript is spliced from 3 exons.
ACAGCAAAGUGAAGAAUAAUAUACAGGCAGAGGGCAGGGACUCUGCAGAUAAAGACACCGCCACACACUUCUAGUGGGUCAAAGGUGAUGAUGUAGAGGGAUUAUUUCUGGAUGAGUAUAAAUGUUGUUUUUUAGAAAAAA